AUGCAAACUUAAUCAUAGCUCUGCCUAAUGUGGCAGAAGGUAAGGAAACAAGGUUUGCUAAAUUGUAGUAAUAGGAAAGUAGUAGUCUCAUAAACUACAAGUGGCCCAUUCUAUAUUACUACAGUG
This 126-nucleotide small nucleolar RNA is filed under the name Castor canadensis (American beaver). Lineage: Eukaryota; Metazoa; Chordata; Mammalia; Rodentia; Castoridae. The record is from RNAcentral.